GAGAGAGAGAGAGAGAGAAUAUUGCUAAGGCAUGCAACUAGGUUAUUAUUGGAACAAAAAGAUCACAAAGUUGUAAAAGUCAUUUUGAAUUGAGCUGGAUGGUUAUUGACUUGGACCAAAAAAUUUUAAAUGCAAAGUACCCCUACCCUAUAAGAAAAGGCUUGGAAAAAAAAAUUCCAAAUCGAGCAAAUCAAUAAAAAAAAAGUUUAUUGAUCGAAUCAAAUUGGUUUCUAAUACAAUUUUAAAAAUUUUCAGGAUUGAUCAAUGAUGAUAUGUUGCAGAUUUUUUUAUUUAAAAAAAUGGAUAGGUUCUAGAAAAAACUUAUAAUUAAAAAGAAAAGGAAAAGAUUAAGUAAGCAAAAUGUUUAAAUCAAACAACUGAUUAAGCAGGUAUCUAAUAUUUUUGGAUCCAAUACAUUUGGAUUUUAUUAAGAAAAAUUGUCUAACAGAUGCACAUCCAAUAUGUACUACACCACCCAACAGUAGAUAAACAAAGAAAUGUGUACAUAAGAAUGUGCUUUUUCCAAAUAUCAGAAAGCAAUACAAUGCUUGUGCUAGAAAGCCUUCCAUAAAGCAGUUUUCACCAUAACUGGGAAAAUUUGUUCUUUCUAGCAAGUUGGCGUUGUUCAGAAAAGCAGCAUCUUCAACAUGUUUAGAUGUCAUUAAAAAUAGUUUUUUAGGUAAAUAUGAAAUGUUUUAGUCAUAAAUACUCCAAAACAAUGUCACUUUCCAACUGCUUUUUGAAACAUCGAAAAUGAUGCUUUUUGGAGCAGAAAAAAGGUUCCCACUUCAAUGCCAAGCAUACUAUCAGUAGUGGUCAAUGACAUAAGAAGUAAUAAAACACUGGCAGCAUGACUAAACGAAGGGGGGAAAAGCAUUCAAUAAAGAACAGAGCAAGAAAGAGAAGCAUCAGUUCAAAUACAGCAAUGACCAAAUAUCCCAUGGUAAGGGGAACAAAUGUGGAUUAAGUUGAACAUGACAGAUGCAAGAAGGGCCCAAGAAAAUGGAUAGAUUGUCUGAAAGCAAAUCAGUAAAUUGAAAUAGAUCACAUCCGUUGGUUCAAAAAGCAUAAAUAAAGCACAUUUGAGUUAUAUAAGUAUAGAAUCCAGUGUCAGCAACUGUAGUAUUCUAGCAGUCAUUUUACAUGGAAGGCACUCUCAAUACACAUUGUCUAGAGUAGCUGCCACCAAUUGUAGCAGAAGUCUCAAAAGAAUGAAGCCAAACAUUGGUUAUGAAGGAUGCCUAAAGGCAAAAGGGAAAAUCUACACAGAAUAAUUUUCUGCUGCUGAUAAUGUCAGUUUCACUCAACUCAGUUGCAACCAUAGUGAUCAUUAAAGUUACCUGGGCUACAAUGGAAUUGCCUCCAUAGAUGGUGCAGGAUCUCUGGAAGGAGCAACCUUUCACCUUGAAGUCAGAGGUAGAUUCUGCUGAAUUUUCUCUUACAAGAAAGGCCUCUAUCUCACUUCUACUAAACUUGUUCAAUGUUCUUUGCACUCUGAAUAUCAUUUUCUUCUCCCCUUCUUCACCUUCCUUAAAAACAUGCCAAGAUCUAUUCUACAACCAGCGAAUACAUCGAAUUACCAUAUUCUAAAACUAGAAAAUUAAAAUCUAAUAGAAAUGGCAAGAUUUCUUGCAAUCAGAAACAAUGAAAGAUAAUUUUAAUCCACCGUUCCUCAUCUUUGAGAGUUGCUUCAUCUCCAUCCCUCAAUUUUAGUAUUUUGUUUCAAUAAAAUCACUCAACUUUAAUUUAGUUACCAAAAAGUCUCUUUGAUCAGAUUUAUCUAGUUUCCUGGUUAGCAUGCAAACCUGACAAGGGUAUUUUUCAUUUGCCAUCACUCAACUUUGGGGUUUUUUAAAUUUUGCCGCUCCAUUUUAAUCAUUUAAUUUUAAUUUGAAUUACAAAUAAUAAUAUUUUAUAUGUUAAGUUUAAGGAUUAAGAAAGACUAAUUUUUAAUGACAUGUGUGUUGAAUAUUUUUUAAAAUUUAUAAGAUAUAUACAAUAUUUAUAUUUAUCAUUCAAUUAAAAAAAUAGUGUUAAUGAAUUUAAUAAUACUUAAAUUAUAUUGUUAAUUUAGUUUAUUGCAAAGUAUAUUAUUUUUUAAACUAUUUUGUUAAUUUUUUUAUAAUUUUAAUUUUAAUUUUAUUAAUUUAUACAAAUCAAAAAUCAAAACAUGGCAAGAUAAGAAAAUAGCUUGAAAUACCACAAAAUUAUAUAUUAUACAUUCGAUAGAGCAUAUUUAUUAUCACUUGAUAUAUAGUAAACCAUAAAAAAU
RNAcentral lists this unclassified non-coding RNA (2272 nucleotides) under Hevea brasiliensis (rubber tree). The record is from RNAcentral. Lineage: Eukaryota; Viridiplantae; Streptophyta; Magnoliopsida; Malpighiales; Euphorbiaceae.